GAUGAAGAACGUAGCGAAAUGCGAUAAGUAAUGUGAAUUGCAGAAUUCAGUGAAUCAUCGAAUCUUUGAACGCACAUUGCGCCCGCCAGUAUUCUGGCGGGCAUGCCUGUUCGAGCGUCAUUUCAACCAUCAAGCCCCCGGCUUGUGUUGGGGACCUGCGGCUGCCGCAGGCCCUGAAAAGCAGUGGCGGGCUCGCUGUCACACCGAGCGUAGUAGCAUACAUCUCGCUCUGAGCGUGCUGCGGGUUCCGGCCGUUAAACCACCUUCAUAACCCAAGGUUGACCUCGGAUCAGGUAGGAAGACCCGCUGAACUUAAGCAUAUCAAUAAGCGGAGGA
This 336-nucleotide unclassified non-coding RNA is filed under the name soil metagenome. RNAcentral describes it as "partial contains 5.8S ribosomal RNA, internal transcribed spacer 2, and large subunit ribosomal RNA". The stretch from base 1 to 120 matches the Rfam family "5.8S ribosomal RNA", at positions 35 to 154 of the family's 154-position model. The record is from RNAcentral.